RNAcentral lists this ribosomal RNA (354 nucleotides) under uncultured eukaryote. RNAcentral's name for it is "LSU rRNA". It matches the Rfam family "Bacterial large subunit ribosomal RNA", at positions 2126 to 2479 of the family's 2925-position model. The record is from RNAcentral.
AGCUUAUUUUGCGCAGCUUAGGUGGGAGGCUAUGAACCUUUUCUUCUGGGAAGAGGGGAGCCGUCAGUGAGAUACCACUCUUGGUAAGCUAGAGCGCUCAGUCUUAACCGUCAUCCGGUAAGACGACAGUUUCAGGCGGGCAGUUUGACUGGGGCAGUCACCUCCCAAAAGGUAAUGGAGGUGUGCAAAGGUUCCCUCAGGCUGGACGGAAAUCAGCCAUAGAGUGUAAAAGCAAAAGGGAGCUUGACUGCGAGACUGACAUGUCAAGCAGAGACGAAAGUCGGCUUUAGUGAUCCGACGGUGCUGUGUGGAAAGGCCGUCGCUCAACGGAUAAAAGUUACUCUAGGGAUAACA